AUAUCAAUAAGCGGAGGAAAAGAAACUAACAAGGAUUCCCCUAGUAACGGCGAGUGAAGCGGGAAGAGCUCAAAUUUGAAAUCUGGUGGCCCCAGGUCAUCCGAGUUGUAAUCUAUAGAAGUGUUUUCCGUGCUGGCUCAUGUACAAGUCCCUUGGAACAGGGCGUCAUAGAGGGUGAGAAUCCCGUCCUUGACAUGAACUACCAGUGCUCUGUGAUACAUUUUCAACGAGUCGAGUUGUUUGGGAAUGCAGCUCAAAAUGGGUGGUAAAUUCCAUCUAAAGCUAAAUAUUGGCGAGAGACCGAUAGCGAACAAGUACCGUGAGGGAAAGAUGAAAAGCACUUUGGAAAGAGAGUUAAACAGUAU
Molecule: ribosomal RNA, 365 nt
Filed under: uncultured fungus
Lineage: Eukaryota; Fungi
Description: eukaryotic LSU rRNA
Rfam family: Eukaryotic large subunit ribosomal RNA
Source: RNAcentral